This 253-nucleotide ribosomal RNA is filed under the name uncultured bacterium. Its description in RNAcentral is "partial 16S ribosomal RNA". It matches the Rfam family "Bacterial small subunit ribosomal RNA", at positions 524 to 776 of the family's 1533-position model. The record is from RNAcentral.
UACGUAGGUGGCGAGCGUUGUCCGGAAUUACUGGGUGUAAAGGAUGCGUAGGCGGAUACUUAAGUCAGAUGUGAAAGCCCCGGGCUUAACCUGGGGAGUGCAUUUGAAACUGGGUAUCUAGAGUACAGGAGAGGAAAGCAGAAUUUCUGGUGUAGCGGUGAAAUGCGUAGAUAUCAGGAAGAAUACCGGUGGCGAAGGCGGCUUUCUGGACUGUAACUGACGCUGAGGCAUGAAAGCGUGGGGAGCAAACAGG